AGUAAAGACGUAAGUUUCUCCCGGCAUGGUACCACCGUUAUCGGGCCAAGCUAGUAGUUGCGAAUGACAACUCCAAGCAGGUCGCCCUCGCCGCCUAAGUGCGGUUCUGGGUAACCACCCUUAAGUCCUUAUCUUGCUAAGGUAGGGCGCGGUUCGGAGGGCACCGGGCAACAGAAGCCCUCCACU
Molecule: transfer-messenger RNA, 186 nt
Filed under: Oceanibaculum nanhaiense
Lineage: Bacteria; Pseudomonadati; Pseudomonadota; Alphaproteobacteria; Rhodospirillales; Oceanibaculaceae
Description: partial transfer-messenger RNA
Rfam family: Alphaproteobacteria transfer-messenger RNA
About the family: Bacterial tmRNA, also known as 10Sa RNA or SsrA, is named for its dual tRNA and mRNA-like properties. Its role is to liberate the mRNA from a stalled ribosome.
Source: RNAcentral